AUGGAAACCUCGGCCAAGCUGAACCACCAGGUGACCGAGGCCUUCGGCGCCAUUGCCCAGGAGCUUUGGCGCAGAGAAGAGAGGAAGGAGGACCAGCAGCAGCAGAGAGACGCACAGCUGGAUCUGAACCAGAGGCCCUCGGCGCAGGCCAGAUGCUGCGCCCGCUAGAAGCAGCCUCUCCAGGAGGGGCCGUGGGGAGGAGGCCCCCAGCCCGGGCCCUGCCCGCUCCGUGUUGACCAGAUACUUAUCCCGAUUCGCCGUCGAUGCUGGCUUGUUCCUGAGUCCCGGCGGCUCUGGAAGCUGGCAUCCCCCUGAAUUACCUCCUCCCAGAGCUGGCGGGAAUCCUUCAAGCCAAGGGCCCAUAUCCAGUGGCUCCAGAGGGUGUCGGCCCCCUGUCCCCCAGACGCCAGAUACAGACUGAACCUCGGAGGCCCAGGAUGUGGCCCCUCGGCUGCCUGGCCAUCAGACACCGAGGGUUGAAACGGUCGGAGGCAAAGCGAGAGUGGGAAAACUACCCUCACCCAGCACGUAUUUGGUGUCGGGCAGGAACUUGCCCCCAGAGGUGGAAAAGGACAGAGCAGGCCCAGGUGGAGCUGGCAGUGCCAGGGAGAGGUGGAGGGAUGGUCGCGGGGCUGGGCCCAUCGUCACUGGAUCUCUGUGAGGUCCCCCAGCAGCACAGAGGGCAACUGGGGUGGGGGUGGGGCGCCAGGCCCCUCCCCUCUGAUGAAAUGAUGCUUACGGGCAUGAGGACUCAGGCUGUCCGCCCGAGGGGUACGUUGUACCGUGUAUGCGUUUUUCUCCAAAAAGUAAACCUUUCUCUAUCCCGUGGUCUUUGGUAGUUGGUACCAUGGGGGAUUGUUCCCGCAUGUCCUCUGGGGGGGUUUGUGAUGAGUAGAUAACAGGGACCCAGGCAGCCGGCACAGGACACCUUCGUGAUGCUGACAUGUCAUUAUGUGCUCACCUCCUUCCUGCCUUAGAGAGAGGCCCCCAUGGCCCUUCUGGGAGGUGAGCCAGCGGCCAUGUGAAGGUGGCUGCUGUGCGAGGUGAUGCUGGUUUCGGCCCCUGAGACUGAUGCAGAGGGAUGGAGUUUUAAACGAGACGAUGUUAUCCCCUCUGAAAAAGGGGCUUUCGCUGUGGCAGCUGUGAGCAUCAACAGGACACCUGCGAGGCAUCCUUCCCCUGGGCGCCCAGCUCCUUGACGUCCACACAGCGCUCCCAUGGCAUCUGUCUUAGACACUUUCCAGGUGACGCCUGACACCUGACUGCUGCAGUUUCUGGCUGCAGUCAGGUUUUUCACACGGCGGUUCCCUCGUGGAUGAAGUUCGCGAGGUGUGAGCCUGCUUUACCGUGCUGGGUCCUCGUGCUCUCUGCCCUCAAGUCCACGUAGGAGGUCUGUGACCGCCCCCCCGCCCCCCGCAAAGGGCAGGACCCACUUAGGAGGCUGAGGUUGCCCUUGGCCGCGAGGUGGCGCUGCAGUAUCGCUGAAGGCGAAGCCCACGGCUCCCGGUCUCUGGGUCAGCUUUACGCCCCGGAGGACGCAAGGCUUUGAGGGGAGUUUCUCCUGUGUUGAAGAGGACAUAGGAAAUGGGGAAAUAAUGGUAUCUAGAGGAUGCCCAUAUAUCUGAUUGAUUUCCUCCCGUCUUGUCAGGCCAGGAUCUCUGUGCUACAAUUUAUUAUUAAAGCAUCCUUCCAUCCUCG
RNAcentral lists this long non-coding RNA (1698 nucleotides) under Sus scrofa (pig). RNAcentral's name for it is "lncRNA (ENSSSCG00060027716.1)". The record is from RNAcentral. Lineage: Eukaryota; Metazoa; Chordata; Mammalia; Artiodactyla; Suidae.